AGGGUCAAAGCUGGAAUGUAACCUCACUUGAAGAUAGUAUUUUAUCUGCAGUAGAAAUUUUAAGUCCUGAUAUUGCUUGCAAAUCUUAUGUGAAGAUAAGUGAAAUACUUCCUGCUGCUGAAUCUGAAAACAGUCAAGAAUCAGGAAGGUGGACACAAAAUUUUAUAGACUUAUUACAUAGGAUUCAAAGGCAGUGUGAAAGAUUUUUAAUACAUAAUGCUAAUCAUGUGGUACAUUGUAAAAGUUGGGCCUUAUUAACUCCAGAAGUACAAAAACGAAUAAAAGAUGCUGCUGUCAUUGUUUUUGAAUUUGAGAAACCAACAGCACCACCACCUCGUUUGUCUAGUUUACAAAGAG
Molecule: long non-coding RNA, 357 nt
Organism: Centruroides sculpturatus (bark scorpion)
Lineage: Eukaryota; Metazoa; Arthropoda; Arachnida; Scorpiones; Buthidae
Exons: 3
Source: RefSeq, a predicted model, not a curated record